RNAcentral lists this ribosomal RNA (188 nucleotides) under uncultured bacterium. RNAcentral describes it as "partial 16S ribosomal RNA". It matches the Rfam family "Bacterial small subunit ribosomal RNA", at positions 1315 to 1500 of the family's 1533-position model. The record is from RNAcentral.
CCUGCAUGAAGUCGGAAUUGCUAGUAAUCGCAGAUCAGCAUGCUGCGGUGAAUACGUUCCCGGGCCUUGUACACACCGCCCGUCACACCAUGGGAGUCGGUAACACCCGAAGUCAGGAGCCUGACCUUUUUAGGAGGGCACUGCCGAAGGUGGGAUUGAUGACUGGGGUGAAGUCGUAACAAGGUAAC